UGGUAAUGCCGGAUGCUCCAGUUGAUCGCAUGGUCUUCUGGGAAAGCUUUCGCGGUAUGGGAUGGGGUCGCGUCCUAUCAGCUUGACGGCGGGGUAACGGCCCACCGUGGCUUCGACGGGUAGCCGGCCUGAGAGGGCGACCGGCCACAUUGGGACUGAGAUACGGCCCAGACUCCUACGGGAGGCAGCAGUGGGGAAUAUUGCACAAUGGGCGCAAGCCUGAUGCAGCGACGCCGCGUGAGGGAUGGAGGCCUUCGGGUUGUAAACCUCUUUUAUCGGGGAGCAAGCGUGAGUGAGUUUACCCGUUGAAUAAGCACCGGCUAACUACGUGCCAGCAGCCGCGGUAAUACGUAGGGUGCAAGCGUUAUCCGGAAUUAUUGGGCGUAAAGGGCUCGUAGGCGGUUCGUCGCGUCCGGUGUGAAAGUCCAUCGCUUAACGGUGGAUCCGCGCCGGGUACGGGCGGGCUUGAGUGCGGUAGGGGAGACUGGAAUUCCCGGUGUAACGGUGGAAUGUGUAGAUA
RNAcentral lists this ribosomal RNA (520 nucleotides) under Bifidobacterium longum subsp. infantis. RNAcentral describes it as "bacterial SSU rRNA". It matches the Rfam family "Bacterial small subunit ribosomal RNA", at positions 161 to 696 of the family's 1533-position model. Lineage: Bacteria; Bacillati; Actinomycetota; Actinomycetes; Bifidobacteriales; Bifidobacteriaceae. The record is from RNAcentral.